GCCAGCCGGGUGUCAGACAGAAGGGCCACCAGUUUCAAAUGCCUCAGGGAACAAUGGCACAGAGAGCUCAAAAAGGACCAGUAGAACUGAGGAGGAAACCAUUACGUCACACACAGAGAGUACAGCACAAGGGAAUGAGAAGGCUGGAACAUUCCGGAAGAGAACUCCAGGAGAGAGACCCUGAUUUCUCCUCUCUUGCUACUGAAUGAAAGCGGGCAGGUC
Molecule: long non-coding RNA, 222 nt
Organism: Mastomys coucha (southern multimammate mouse)
Lineage: Eukaryota; Metazoa; Chordata; Mammalia; Rodentia; Muridae
Exons: 3
Source: RefSeq, a predicted model, not a curated record